GGAACGUUAUGAGGGUGGCACCGACUUCCGGUCAGGGUGGAGGCGAGACGAUGCGAGCGGCCUGAGGGCGCAUCUGGGCUCCCGGGGGGCCAGGCCGGGCCAGCCCAGGGAGAGAGCCUGGCAGAAGAACAACCACGAUGGCUCGAAUUCCCAUGGGCAAAGUUCUUCUGCGAAAUGUCAUCCGCCACACAGAUGCACACAACAAGAUUCAAGAAGAAUCAGAGAUGUGGAAAAUUAGGGAAAAAGAGAAGCAAACAAAUGAGAUGAGAUUUUUCCAGCGGAGGAGAAAAUCUGUGAAUUUGCCAGGCAAUAGAAUGCGAUGUGAUGGGUAUGAUGAAGAGGAGGAAGAGAGGAAGGCAAAUGCUGCUGCUCGUAAGCCUUUGCCCACUCCACAGGAUGAACGUGAAACAAGAUACUGGACAAAGAAGCUGUACCACUUUGAAGCAAGUGAUCCAAACAGAUGGGGUCACAGUGGCUACAAAGAACUUUAUCCAGAGGAAUUUGAAUCCGAGAGUGACCAAAAAGAUAGCAGCGAUGGGCACACUGCCAAUGGGACAAAAGCCAUACGCCUGAAGUCUUCAAAAUCAAACUCACGAAAACGUAAGCGAUCAGGUAAAUCAAAUAAGAAGAAACGCAAAAAGAAAUCCAGUAAAAAGAUGAGGAGGAAGAAAUGUCUGCGGACUAGCGAUUCUUCAAGUGACAGUGAAAGCUCGGAGGAGGAGGACUCAGAUCACAGGAAAAGGAGAAAAGCGAAGAAGAAGCAUCGCAAAAAAGCAGCCAAGAAGCAAAAGAAACUAUCCUCCUCCUCCUGCGAAAGUGAAAGGAAUUCGUCACACAGCAGUGAUUCUGACACAACUAGCAAAGAUGAAAGCGAUCCUGGGAAUCACCUGGAGAAAAGGAGGAAGAAGAGAAAGAAAAAGCAUCGCAGAAAUGCCCUCAAAGAAGAUGACGAUAAAGAAAUAAAAAAUAGCAGAAAGAAGAGGAAAAACUGGAAAAUAGCACACAAUGAUACUUCAGAUGACAGUGGGGAAGAUGACUUGAAUUAGAUUUCUACUUUGAAAAUCUUGUCUUCAAGUUCCUAAGGAACUUAUUUGAAUCGUGUAAACCGAGCCAGACCAAGUACAUAAUUUGGAUUUUACUGACUUGGUCUAAAAAUUGUUUAGUGCUAGGGCACAAAACCAUUAUCUCGGCAGUAGCAGAACAGGAUGACAUGAACACUCUCUAUACCCCUCCAACCCUCCUAGGUUGGAGAGAUUUGUUGCAGGGAGGCAACAAUUUAUGAAAGCGUUUGGAGAGAAAUGGAAGUUUGGAGUUGAGAUGCAGCUGUCUGCAAGGAAAGAGGGUCUAUUUCUGAAAAACCAGCGAUAGAGGCAUAGUAACAAUGUCAACCCGUGAUAAUAAUUCCUUUCAGUAUCAAAUGGGCUUCUGAACGCUUGUCAACAAAAUAUAUUUGUUUGAAUUAAGUGUCUCUCUCCUUAACACAUAAAGGGAGGUGGUGGCUGGCGUAGUGGCAUUGUCACUGGACUAGUAAUCCAGAAACCCAGGGUAAUGCUGGGUUUGAAUUCUGCCAAGGCAGAUGGUGAAAUUUGAAUUCAAUAAAA
RNA transcript from Carcharodon carcharias (great white shark), 1601 nucleotides. It is a transcript of the gene named NKAP domain containing 1, with no coding region annotated. The transcript has 8 exons. NCBI's taxonomy places the organism in Eukaryota, Metazoa, Chordata, Chondrichthyes, Lamniformes, Lamnidae. The record is from RefSeq and is a predicted model, not a curated record.